GACGAACGCUGGCGGCGUGCCUAAUACAUGCAAGUGGGACGCAAGGGAACACACUGUGCUUGCACACCGUGUUUUCUUGAGUCGCGAACGGGUGAGUAACGCGUAGGUAACCUGCCUAUUAGCGGGGGAUAACUAUUGGAAACGAUAGCUAAUACCGCAUAAUAUUAAUUAUUGCAUGAUAAUUGAUUGAAAGAUGCAAGCGCAUCACCAGUAGAUGGACCUGCGUUGUAUUAGCUAGUUGGUAAGGUAAGAGCUUACCAAGGCGACGAUACAUAGCCGACCUGAGAGGGUGAUCGGCCACACUGGGACUGAGACACGGCCCAGACUCCUACGGGAGGCAGCAGCAGGGAAUCUUCGGCAAUGGACGAAAGUCUGACCGAGCAACGCCGCGUGAGUGAAGAAGGUUUUCGGAUCGUAAAGCUCUGUUGUAAGUCAAGAACGUGUGUGAGAGUGGAAAGUUCACACAGGACGUAGCUACCAGAAG
RNAcentral lists this ribosomal RNA (484 nucleotides) under Streptococcus mutans. RNAcentral's name for it is "bacterial SSU rRNA". It matches the Rfam family "Bacterial small subunit ribosomal RNA", at positions 28 to 489 of the family's 1533-position model. Lineage: Bacteria; Bacillati; Bacillota; Bacilli; Lactobacillales; Streptococcaceae. The record is from RNAcentral.